AUGGCUGAUCCUUGGCAGGAAUGCUUGGAUUAUGCUGUAACCCUAGCAAGACAAGCUGGAGAGGUGGUUUGUGAAGCUAUAAAAAAAUGAAAAGAAUGUUAUGCUAAAAAGUUCUCCAGCUGAUUUGGUUACUGUUACUGACCAAAAAGUUGAAAAGGUGCUUAUUUCGUCCAUAAAGGAAAAGUAUCCUUCUCACAGUUUCAUUGGUGAGGAGUCUGUGGCAGCUGUGGAAAAAUGUGUCUUAACUGACAACCCCACGUGGAUCAUUGACCCUAUUGAUGGAAUAACCAACUUUGUACAUAGAUUUCCUUUUGUAGUUGUUUCGAUUGGCUUUGUUGUAAAUAAAAAGAUAGAAUUUAGAGUUGUGUACAGUUGUGUGGAAGAUAAGAUGUACACUGCCAGGAAAGAAAAAGGUGCCUUUUGUAAUGGUCAAAAACUACAGGUUUCAAAACAAGAAGAUAUUACCAAAUCACUCUUGGUGACUGAGUUGGGCUCUUGCAGAACACCAGAGACUGUCAGAAUUAUUCUUUCUAAUAUGGAAAGGCUGUUUUGCAUUCCUGUUCAUGGGAUCCGGAGUGUUGGAACAGCAGCUGUCAAUAUGUGCCUUGUGGCAACUGGAGGAGCCGAUGCAUACUUUGAAAUGGGAAUUCACUGCUGGGAUGUUGCAGGAGCUGGAAUUAUUGUUACUGAAGCUGGCAGAGUGCUACUGGAUGUUACAGGUGGACCAUUUGAUUUGAUGUCAUGAAGGGUAAUUGCUGCAAGUAGUAGAACAUUAGCAGAAAGGACAGCCAAAGAAAUUCAGGUUGUACCUUUACGACGAGAUGAUGAAGAAUAA
RNA transcript from Nycticebus coucang (slow loris), 835 nucleotides. It is a transcript of the gene named inositol monophosphatase 1-like, with no coding region annotated. The transcript has a single exon. The record is from RefSeq and is a predicted model, not a curated record. NCBI's taxonomy places the organism in Eukaryota, Metazoa, Chordata, Mammalia, Primates, Lorisidae.